Molecule: ribosomal RNA, 515 nt
Filed under: uncultured bacterium
Lineage: Bacteria
Description: partial 16S ribosomal RNA
Rfam family: Bacterial small subunit ribosomal RNA
Source: RNAcentral
GAUGAACGCUGGCGGCGUGCCUAAUACAUGCAAGUCGAGCGAAUGGAUUAAGAGCUUGCUCUUAUGAAGUUAGCGGCGGACGGGUGAGUAACACGUGGGUAACCUGCCCAUAAGACUGGGAUAACUCCGGGAAACCGGGGCUAAUACCGGCUAACAUUUUGAACCGCAUGGUUCGAAAUUGAAAGGAGGCUUCGGCUGUCACUUAUGGAUGGACCCGCGUCGCAUUAGCUAGUUGGUGAGGUAACGGCUCACCAAGGCAACGAUGCGUAGCCGACCUGAGAGGGUGAUCGGCCACACUGGGACUGAGACACGGCCCAGACUCCUACGGGAGGCAGCAGUAGGGAAUCUUCCGCAAUGGACGAAAGUCUGACGGAGCAACGCCGCGUGAGUGAUGAAGGCUUUCGGGUCGUAAAACUCUGUUGUUAGGGAAGAACAAGUGCUAGUUGAAUAAGCUGACACCUUGACGGUACCUAACCAGAAAGCCACGGCUAACUACGUGCCAGCCGCCGCGGUAA